This 407-nucleotide ribosomal RNA is filed under the name uncultured bacterium. RNAcentral's name for it is "partial 16S ribosomal RNA". It matches the Rfam family "Bacterial small subunit ribosomal RNA", at positions 30 to 526 of the family's 1533-position model. The record is from RNAcentral.
AUUGAACGCUAGCGGGAUGCCUUACACAUGCAAGUCGAACGGAGUGGCGAACGGGUGAGUAAUGUACCUGAACGUGCCCAGUAGCGGGGGAUAAUUACGCGAAAGCGUAGCUAAUACCGCAUACUCUCGCUACCGCCGAUACCGGAUUAGCUAGUUGGUGGGGUAACGGCUCACCAAGGCGUAGAUCCGUAGCUGGUUUGAGAGGACGACCAGCCACACUGGAACUGAGACACGGCCCAGACUCCUACGGGAGGCAGCAGUGGGGAAUAUUGGACAAUGGGGGAAACCCUGAUACAGCCAUCCCGCGUGUGCGAUGAAGGCCUUCGGGUUGUAAAGAACUUUUGGCAGGGAAGCGGUACCUGCAGAAUAAGCACCGGCUAACUACGUGCCAGCAGCCGCGGUAAUAC